This 375-nucleotide ribosomal RNA is filed under the name uncultured organism. RNAcentral describes it as "partial 16S ribosomal RNA". It matches the Rfam family "Bacterial small subunit ribosomal RNA", at positions 527 to 896 of the family's 1533-position model. The record is from RNAcentral.
GUAGGUGGCAAGCGUUGUCCGGAAUUAUUGGGCGUAAAGCGCGCGCAGGCGGUUCUUUAAGUCUGAUGUGAAAGCCCACGGCUCAACCGUGGAGGGUCAUUGGAAACUGGAGAACUUGAGUACAGAAGAGGAAAGCGGAAUUCCACGUGUAGCGGUGAAAUGCGUAGAGAUGUGGAGGAACGCCAGUGGCGAAGGCGGCUUUCUGGUCUGUAACUGACGCUGAGGCGCGAAAGCGUGGGGGGGGGCAAACAGGAUUAGAUACCCUGGUAGUCCACGCCGUAAACGAUGAGUGCUAAGUGUUAGGGGGUUUCCGCCCCCCUUAGUGCUGCAGCUAACGCAUUAAGCACUCCGCCUGGGAGUACGGCCGCAAGGCUG